AAUCUAUAUCAAUCCACACACUGCGAACCAUUUUGUUGUGGCCACUCGGGGGAUGAGAGUUCGUAUGCACAUGCACACAAGCCCUCCUCCUCUGGGGUGUGGUUCGUACGGCACUCGUGGCGUACAAACCACUAUCGCCGCCUUGCUAAGCAAGAGGUGAUGGCCCUAACUGCUAACCACCAACUCCAAACCUAACCAUAAUUAAAACCGAGUGUUCAGCUUAGAGCUGACUCUCACCAACCAAGACAACUCUCAACAACGGAUAUCUUGGCUCUCAGAUCGAUGAAGAACGCAGCGAAAUGCGAUACGUAGUGUGAAUUGCAGAAAUACGUGAAUCAUCGAAUCUUUGAACGCAAAUUGCGCUCGAGGCUUCGGCCAAGAGCAUGUCUGCCUCAGCGUCGGGUUAAUACUCAAUGCAAUGCACAUGCAUGUGUGUACUGCAUUGGAUCUGGCUGUCUCGGUGCUUACUACUAAUGCCGGGUCAGCUGAAGUAUGCAGAUGCUGAACCAUGGACCGUUCAUCGGGCCUCUACUGGGUAGGCAUAACACACCUUUGGUUGUUAGCUGCAAUGCUUUAGUAGAUGGCUUCGGGUACUGUGUUUGGCACAAAGCAGGAGUACUGCUUCAUGCAGUACAACCCCCCCAUCAUUUUCUCGACCUGAGCUCAGGCAAGA
RNAcentral lists this small RNA (673 nucleotides) under Volvox obversus. Its description in RNAcentral is "eukaryotic LSU rRNA". The stretch from base 248 to 401 matches the Rfam family "5.8S ribosomal RNA". The record is from RNAcentral. Lineage: Eukaryota; Viridiplantae; Chlorophyta; Chlorophyceae; Chlamydomonadales; Volvocaceae.